UUAUUUUACAUGGAUAACUGUGGUAAUUCUAGAGCUAAUACAUGCAACAAGCCUUGACCCUUACGGGCAAGGCGCAGUUAUUAGAUCAAAAACCAAUCGGUUGUAUCUUCGGAUAUAGCCGUUAGCUUGGUGACUCUGAGUAACCACAGCGAACCGUAUGGCCUUGUGCUCGACGGUCUGUCAGUCAAGCAACUGCCUUAUCAGCUUGUUGUUAGGUUAUAUGCCUAACAAGGCUUCAACGGGUAACGAACGAUCGGGGUCGGAUAUCGGAGAGGGAGCUUGAGAAACGGCUACCACUUCCAAGGAAGGCAGCAGGCGCGCAAAUUACCCACUCUCGGCAUGAGGAGGUAGCGAUAAAAUGUAUCGAUGCGGGGCCAUUAGUGCCUUCGUAAUCGGAAUGAGUACACUUUAAAUCCUAUAACAAGGACCUAUUGGAGGGCAAGUCUGGUGCCAGCAGCCGCGGUAAUUCCAGCUCCAAUAGCGUAUAUUAAUGCUGCUGCGGUUAAAAAGCUCGUAGUCGGAUCUGGGUUACCGGCGGGUACCGCAUGUUGCUUCAUGCAGCAUGUUGUGUACUAUACGUGUCGCUUCGGCGGCACUGCCAGUGUAAUGUUACCUUACAGGUGCAUUACGCUGGUCGCCGGAACCACGGGCCGGGUUGAGCAGCAUGCUCUUAAUUGAGUGUGUUGUUUACUCGGUGCGUUUACUUUGAAAAAAUUGGAGUGCUCAAAGCAAGCGUACAGUCGCUAUGCGGCUUGAACAGUGGUGCAUGGAAUAAUGGAAUAGGGCCUCGGUUCUAUUUUGUUGGUUUUAAGAUAUCGAGGUAAUGAUUAAGAGGGACAGACGGGGACGUUUGUAUUGCGACGUUAGAGGUGAAAUUCUUGGAUCGUCGCAAGACACACUAAUGCGAAAGCAUUCGUCUAGAAUGUUUUCAUUGAUCAAGAACGAAAGUUAGAGGUUCGAAGGCGAUCAGAUACCGCCCUAGUUCUAACCAUAAACGAUGCCAACCAGCGAUCCGUCGGUGUUCUCAAUUAUGAAUGACCCGACGGGCAGCUUCCGGGAAACCAAAGUUUUCGGGUUCCGGGGGAAGUAUGGUUGCAAAGCUGAAACUUAAAGGAAUUGACCGA
Molecule: ribosomal RNA, 1124 nt
Filed under: Echiniscus dariae
Lineage: Eukaryota; Metazoa; Tardigrada; Heterotardigrada; Echiniscoidea; Echiniscidae
Description: SSU rRNA
Rfam family: Eukaryotic small subunit ribosomal RNA
Source: RNAcentral